CUGCUCACUUCAAUAACAUAUAUACUAAAAUUGGAAUGAUACAGAGAAGGUUACCAUGUCUUCUGUGCCAAGAUGUCAUGCAAAUUCAUGAGGCAUUCCAUAUAUUU
Molecule: small nuclear RNA, 107 nt
Filed under: Propithecus coquereli (Coquerel's sifaka)
Lineage: Eukaryota; Metazoa; Chordata; Mammalia; Primates; Indriidae
Source: RNAcentral